CACGUAGGGGCGAGCGUUAUCCGGAAUUACUGGGCGUAGAGGGUGCGUAGGUGGUUUCUUAAGUCAGAGGUGAAAGGCUACGGCUCAACCGUAGUAAGCCUUUGAAACUGGGAAACUUGAGUGCAGGAGAGGAGAGUGGAAUUCCUAGUGUAGCGGUGAAAUGCGUAGAUAUUAGGAGGAACACCAGUUGCGAAGGCGGCUCUCUGGACUGUAACUGACACUGAGGCACGAAAGCGUGGGGAGCAAACAGGAUUAGAUACCCCGGUAGUCGCGAGCGGG
Molecule: ribosomal RNA, 279 nt
Filed under: uncultured prokaryote
Description: partial 16S ribosomal RNA
Rfam family: Bacterial small subunit ribosomal RNA
Source: RNAcentral